Molecule: long non-coding RNA, 445 nt
Organism: Mytilus californianus (California mussel)
Lineage: Eukaryota; Metazoa; Mollusca; Bivalvia; Mytilida; Mytilidae
Exons: 3
Source: RefSeq, a predicted model, not a curated record
GAUAGAAAUCUUCACUUGUAAAUAAACUUUGACCAUGAAUCAAGUAAGAGUUUACAGAUUUGAAUUAUUUAUAUUCAUAUUUAUAUCAACUCUGUGGAACGUGUUUGAAGGUUUUCCUGGUUUACAAAGCCGCCUUCCAAAUGGGGAUAAAAUACCUCAUCCAUGUAUUCCAGGCCAAUACUGGCAUGCAGUAGGACACUGGCAUCCAAGUCGAGGAGUCGAAAAUAACCAAUUUGGAUUAGAUUUCAAAGCAGCAGGAAUGCUUUACACCGUAGCUUUCCAUCACCAAGACUCGGACGGAGAUGGCAAAACCAAUGGAUUCGAACUAAACGUUAAUUAUACUAAUAAUCGAUACGUUAUGGAGGGAGUCCCUUUAAGUCAUCCAGGAAUAUGUGAGCCUGUAGAUUCAGAAAAAUGUAGAAAACUUCAACAAUUUAAAUGUCCA